This 2771-nucleotide ribosomal RNA is filed under the name Klebsiella pneumoniae. RNAcentral's name for it is "bacterial LSU rRNA". It matches the Rfam family "Bacterial large subunit ribosomal RNA". Lineage: Bacteria; Pseudomonadati; Pseudomonadota; Gammaproteobacteria; Enterobacterales; Enterobacteriaceae. The record is from RNAcentral.
AGCGUACACGGUGGAUGCCCUGGCAGUCAGAGGCGAUGAAGGACGUGCUAAUCUGCGAAAAGCGUCGGUAAGGUGAUAUGAACCGUUAUAACCGGCGAUGUCCGAAUGGGGAAACCCAGUGCAAUUCGUUGCACUAUCGUUAACUGAAUACAUAGGUUAACGAGGCGAACCGGGGGAACUGAAACAUCUAAGUACCCCGAGGAAAAGAAAUCAACCGAGAUUCCCCCAGUAGCGGCGAGCGAACGGGGAGCAGCCCAGAGUCUGAAUCAGCUUGUGUGUUAGUGGAACGGUCUGGAAAGUCCGACGGUACAGGGUGAUAGUCCCGUACACCAAAAUGCACAGGUUGUGAACUCGAAGAGUAGGGCGGGACACGUGGUAUCCUGUCUGAAUAUGGGGGGACCAUCCUCCAAGGCUAAAUACUCCUGACUGACCGAUAGUGAACCAGUACCGUGAGGGAAAGGCGAAAAGAACCCCGGCGAGGGGAGUGAAAAAGAACCUGAAACCGUGUACGUACAAGCAGUGGGAGCACCUUCGGGUGUGACUGCGUACCUUUUGUAUAAUGGGUCAGCGACUUAUAUUCUGUAGCAAGGUUAACCGUAUAGGGGAGCCGCAGGGAAACCGAGUCUUAACUGGGCGUUAAGUUGCAGGGUAUAGACCCGAAACCCGGUGAUCUAGCCAUGGGCAGGUUGAAGGUUGGGUAACACUAACUGGAGGACCGAACCGACUAAUGUUGAAAAAUUAGCGGAUGACUUGUGGCUGGGGGUGAAAGGCCAAUCAAACCGGGAGAUAGCUGGUUCUCCCCGAAAGCUAUUUAGGUAGCGCCUCGUGAACUCAUCUUCGGGGGUAGAGCACUGUUUCGGCUAGGGGGUCAUCCCGACUUACCAACCCGAUGCAAACUACGAAUACCGAAGAAUGUUAUCACGGGAGACACACGGCGGGUGCUAACGUCCGUCGUGAAGAGGGAAACAACCCAGACCGCCAGCUAAGGUCCCAAAGUCAUGGUUAAGUGGGAAACGAUGUGGGAAGGCACAGACAGCCAGGAUGUUGGCUUAGAAGCAGCCAUCAUUUAAAGAAAGCGUAAUAGCUCACUGGUCGAGUCGGCCUGCGCGGAAGAUGUAACGGGGCUAAACCAUGCACCGAAGCUGCGGCAGCGACACUAUGUGUUGUUGGGUAGGGGAGCGUUCUGUAAGCCUGCGAAGGUGUGCUGUGAGGCAUGCUGGAGGUAUCAGAAGUGCGAAUGCUGACAUAAGUAACGAUAAAGCGGGUGAAAAGCCCGCUCGCCGGAAGACCAAGGGUUCCUGUCCAACGUUAAUCGGGGCAGGGUGAGUCGACCCCUAAGGCGAGGCCGAAAGGCGUAGUCGAUGGGAAACAGGUUAAUAUUCCUGUACUUGGUGUUACUGCGAAGGGGGGACGGAGAAGGCUAUGUUAGCCGGGCGACGGUUGUCCCGGUUUAAGCAUGUAGGCUGAUUGUCCAGGCAAAUCCGGAUAAUCAAGGCUGAGGUGUGAUGACGAGGCACUACGGUGCUGAAGUAACAAAUGCCCUGCUUCCAGGAAAAGCCUCUAAGCAUCAGGUAACAUUAAAUCGUACCCCAAACCGACACAGGUGGUCAGGUAGAGAAUACCAAGGCGCUUGAGAGAACUCGGGUGAAGGAACUAGGCAAAAUGGUGCCGUAACUUCGGGAGAAGGCACGCUGGUGUGUAGGUGAAGUCCCUGCGGAUGGAGCUGAGACCAGUCGAAGAUACCAGCUGGCUGCAACUGUUUAUUAAAAACACAGCACUGUGCAAACACGAAAGUGGACGUAUACGGUGUGACGCCUGCCCGGUGCCGGAAGGUUAAUUGAUGGGGUUAUCCGUAAGGAGAAGCUCUUGAUCGAAGCCCCGGUAAACGGCGGCCGUAACUAUAACGGUCCUAAGGUAGCGAAAUUCCUUGUCGGGUAAGUUCCGACCUGCACGAAUGGCGUAAUGAUGGCCAGGCUGUCUCCACCCGAGACUCAGUGAAAUUGAACUCGCUGUGAAGAUGCAGUGUACCCGCGGCAAGACGGAAAGACCCCGUGAACCUUUACUAUAGCUUGACACUGAACAUUGAGCCUUGAUGUGUAGGAUAGGUGGGAGGCUUUGAAGCGUGGACGCCAGUCUGCGUGGAGCCAACCUUGAAAUACCACCCUUUAAUGUUUGAUGUUCUAACGUUGGCCCCUGACCGGGGUUGCGGACAGUGUCUGGUGGGUAGUUUGACUGGGGCGGUCUCCUCCCAAAGCGUAACGGAGGAGCACGAAGGUUAGCUAAUCCUGGUCGGACAUCAGGAGGUUAGUGCAAUGGCAUAAGCUAGCUUGACUGCGAGCGUGACGGCGCGAGCAGGUGCGAAAGCAGGUCAUAGUGAUCCGGUGGUUCUGAAUGGAAGGGCCAUCGCUCAACGGAUAAAAGGUACUCCGGGGAUAACAGGCUGAUACCGCCCAAGAGUUCAUAUCGACGGCGGUGUUUGGCACCUCGAUGUCGGCUCAUCACAUCCUGGGGCUGAAGUAGGUCCCAAGGGUAUGGCUGUUCGCCAUUUAAAGUGGUACGCGAGCUGGGUUUAGAACGUCGUGAGACAGUUCGGUCCCUAUCUGCCGUGGGCGCUGGAGAAUUGAGGGGGGCUGCUCCUAGUACGAGAGGACCGGAGUGGACGCAUCACUGGUGUUCGGGUUGUCAUGCCAAUGGCACUGCCCGGUAGCUAAAUGCGGAAGAGAUAAGUGCUGAAAGCAUCUAAGCACGAAACUUGCCCCGAGAUGAGUUCU